Molecule: ribosomal RNA, 765 nt
Filed under: Staphylococcus aureus
Lineage: Bacteria; Bacillati; Bacillota; Bacilli; Caryophanales; Staphylococcaceae
Description: bacterial SSU rRNA
Rfam family: Bacterial small subunit ribosomal RNA
Source: RNAcentral
ACGUGGAUAACCUACCUAUAAGACUGGGAUAACUUCGGGAAACCGGAGCUAAUACCGGAUAAUAUUUUGAACCGCAUGGUUCAAAAGUGAAAGACGGUCUUGCUGUCACUUAUAGAUGGAUCCGCGCUGCAUUAGCUAGUUGGUAAGGUAACGGCUUACCAAGGCAACGAUGCAUAGCCGACCUGAGAGGGUGAUCGGCCACACUGGAACUGAGACACGGUCCAGACUCCUACGGGAGGCAGCAGUAGGGAAUCUUCCGCAAUGGGCGAAAGCCUGACGGAGCAACGCCGCGUGAGUGAUGAAGGUCUUCGGAUCGUAAAACUCUGUUAUUAGGGAAGAACAUAUGUGUAAGUAACUGUGCACAUCUUGACGGUACCUAAUCAGAAAGCCACGGCUAACUACGUGCCAGCAGCCGCGGUAAUACGUAGGUGGCAAGCGUUAUCCGGAAUUAUUGGGCGUAAAGCGCGCGUAGGCGGUUUUUUAAGUCUGAUGUGAAAGCCCACGGCUCAACCGUGGAGGGUCAUUGGAAACUGGAAAACUUGAGUGCAGAAGAGGAAAGUGGAAUUCCAUGUGUAGCGGUGAAAUGCGCAGAGAUAUGGAGGAACACCAGUGGCGAAGGCGACUUUCUGGUCUGUAACUGACGCUGAUGUGCGAAAGCGUGGGGAUCAAACAGGAUUAGAUACCCUGGUAGUCCACGCCGUAAACGAUGAGUGCUAAGUGUUAGGGGGUUUCCGCCCCUUAGUGCUGCAGCUAACGCAUUAAGCA